UGCGGAAGGAUCAUUACUGUAAUCCAAACCUACUCAACCAAGCCUACUUGUUGCCGGGCGAAAGCCUAGCAGCCAAACCUAACCAAAAGAAACUAACUAAGCUUCAAACCUAAACCAAAUCCUCAACGAUGGAUAUCUAGGUUCCUACUACGAUGAAGAACGCAGCGAAGUGCGAUAGGCAAUGCGAAUUGCAGAGCCGAGAGUCAUCAGAUUUUUGAACGUAACUGGCACCGUCGGGUUUUCCCAACGGUAUGCUUCUUUCAGUGUGUGAUUUUCUCCUCACCCAAACCUUAAUGCGAUAGAUGCCCUUCUAUUGCUAAGCAAGAAAGCACUCUGAACUCUGCAGCGAUAGUUUCGACUGUCGCACUCAAUGCAGUAGUCACAUUCUCAAAUGUGAACUCAUUGAGAGUAGAGUCAGCGCAUGCUUGCAUGCCAGUGCUUGGAGAUACAAAUUUUUUCAACAUCUGAGAUGAAGUAGGACGACCCGCUGAACUUAA
Molecule: ribosomal RNA, 497 nt
Filed under: uncultured Tintinnida
Lineage: Eukaryota; Ciliophora; Spirotrichea; Tintinnida
Description: eukaryotic LSU rRNA
Rfam family: 5.8S ribosomal RNA (bases 118-269)
Source: RNAcentral